Molecule: ribosomal RNA, 433 nt
Filed under: uncultured bacterium
Lineage: Bacteria
Description: partial 16S ribosomal RNA
Rfam family: Bacterial small subunit ribosomal RNA
Source: RNAcentral
GGGGGGGGGGGGGGGGGGGCCUGGCGCGGGCAGGGCGGGGGCGCCGGGCGGGGUGGGCGGCGGACGGGGGGGUAACGCGGGGGAACGUGCUCUUGUCUACGGAGUAGCCUCGGGAAACUGAGAGUAAUACCGUAUACGCCCUUGGGGGGAAAGGUUUAUCGGCCAAGGAUCGGCCCGCGUUGGAUUAGGUAGUUGGUGGGGUAAUGGCCUACCAAGCCGACGAUCCAUAGCUGGUUUGAGAGGAUGAUCAGCCACACUGGGACUGAGACACGGCCCAGACUCCUACGGGAGGCAGCAGUGGGGAAUCUUAGACAAUGGGGGCAACCCUGAUCUAGCCAUGCCGCGUGAGUGAUGAAGGCCUUAGGGUUGUAAAGCUCUUUCAGCUGGGAAGAUAAUGACGGUACCAGCAGAAGAAGCCCCGGCUAACUCCGUG